Molecule: ribosomal RNA, 468 nt
Filed under: uncultured bacterium
Lineage: Bacteria
Description: partial 16S ribosomal RNA
Rfam family: Bacterial small subunit ribosomal RNA
Source: RNAcentral
GACGAACGCUGGCGGCGUGCUUAACACAUGCAAGUCGAACGGAAAGGCCCUUCUUGUGUGGGAUGCUCGAGUGGCGAACGGGUGAGUAACACGUGUGUAACCUGCCCUUGACUGUGAUAUAUCUUGAGGAAACUGGGUCAAAUACCGGAGAGGAUCUCCUUCUGCGUGGUGGGUGUUGGAAAGUUUCGGCGGUGGGGGAUGGACGCGGGGGUUAUAAGCUUUGGGGUGGGGUAGUGGUUUACCAAGGUUUUCCGGGGUAGCCGGCCUGAGGGGGGGACGGGCAACAUUGGGACUGAGAUCCGGCCCAGCUUCCUACGGGAGGAAGAAGUGGGGAAUAUUGAAAAAUGGGCGGAGGCCUGAUGCAGAAACGCCGCGUGCGGGAUGACGGCCUUCGGGUGGUAACCCGUUUUCGCCUGUGCCGAAGUGUGUGUGACGGUAGUGGGUAAAGAAGCACCGGCUAACUACGUG